UUCAUGGGUCCCACCAGUAUGAUUCUUCACUUUCCCCAUUCUGUAGUCUUCUCGGCUUCUCCGUUCUUCUUUUCUCCACUCAUUCCCUUUCUCAUUUCCUUAUUUUCUCUUCUCACACAAAAAUUGGUUUUGCUGGAUAGCCCUCAUCAGCUUGCUCUCUUCAUCCGCUGUAUUGAGGUUGCUCCUCCUCACCUCAAGCCACCACUGGAGCUGGUGCUGCCACAGGAUGACCAUCGACGGCGGCUGGUUUGGCUCCUCGCCCGCAGCCUCUUGGAUCCAGCUUCAGUAUGAGGGAGCUGGAGACAUUUUCUUCCCCAAGCACGCAAACCAAACGCAUUGCCGCUAUUUCUGCGCGAGGCGGCUCAACACAUCAUUCACAUCCCCUACUGCGGCAACAUUCUUCAAUUCGAACUACAGUUGGUACUUACUUGAGGUGAUCUGAUUGCUCGAUGGAGCCAGCUAGUGUCCGCUGGAGGAAGACAAUGCCGAUGUGCCACUGGUUGGAGGAAGUUGACUUUGAUGUCUCGUUCGCGGGAGGAAGAUGAUGUACAAGAUCGCUGAGUACGCGCUUGAACGUGGCUGCCGGUGCUAUUUCUGAAGCAUGGUUUCGAUGGAAGCCAUCUGCAGGACCAGAUCACCGAUUACUGCUUGCACUCCGCGGACGAAGGAAUAAAGAAGGGAAGAAGACGGAGGCCUGUGCGCGUCGACGAUCUGCUGGAGGGCAAGGCCAAAGGUUGUGGCGGCGCCUAGUUGAAAGGAUGGGAUGGGAGCCUUGCUGGGAAGGAAGGAAACAUCAAGCGAUGAGGGAAGACCUGAUCGUGUGUUCAUUAUUUAGUCUAU
Long non-coding RNA from Triticum aestivum (bread wheat), 840 nucleotides. RefSeq lists it as uncharacterized. The transcript has 4 exons. NCBI's taxonomy places the organism in Eukaryota, Viridiplantae, Streptophyta, Magnoliopsida, Poales, Poaceae. The record is from RefSeq and is a predicted model, not a curated record.